This 612-nucleotide ribosomal RNA is filed under the name Enterobacter cloacae. Its description in RNAcentral is "bacterial SSU rRNA". It matches the Rfam family "Bacterial small subunit ribosomal RNA", at positions 558 to 1170 of the family's 1533-position model. The record is from RNAcentral. Lineage: Bacteria; Pseudomonadati; Pseudomonadota; Gammaproteobacteria; Enterobacterales; Enterobacteriaceae.
GCGUAAGCGCACGCAGGCGGUCUGUCAAGUCGGAUGUGAAAUCCCCGGGCUCAACCUGGGAACUGCAUUCGAAACUUGGCAGGCUAGAGUCUUGUAGAGGGGGGUAGAAUUCCAGGUGUAGCGGUGAAAUGCGUAGAGAUCUGGAGGAAUACCGGUGGCGAAGGCGGCCCCCUGGACAAAGACUGACGCUCAGGUGCGAAAGCGUGGGGAGCAAACAGGAUUAGAUACCCUGGUAGUCCACGCCGUAAACGAUGUCGACUUGGAGGUUGUGCCCUUGAGGCGUGGCUUCCGGAGCUAACGCGUUAAGUCGACCGCCUGGGGAGUACGGCCGCAAGGUUAAAACUCAAAUGAAUUGACGGGGGCCCGCACAAGCGGUGGAGCAUGUGGUUUAAUUCGAUGCAACGCGAAGAACCUUACCUACUCUUGACAUCCAGAGAACUUAGCAGAGAUGCUUUGGUGCCUUCGGGAACUCUGAGACAGGUGCUGCAUGGCUGUCGUCAGCUCGUGUUGUGAAAUGUUGGGUUAAGUCCCGCAACGAGCGCAACCCUUAUCCUUUGUUGCCAGCGGUUAGGCCGGGAACUCAAAGGAGACUGCCAGUGAUAAACUGGAGGA